UCCGGUCGGCUUCGAUAGGAAGAA
This 24-nucleotide non-coding RNA is filed under the name Arabidopsis thaliana (thale cress). The record is from RNAcentral. Lineage: Eukaryota; Viridiplantae; Streptophyta; Magnoliopsida; Brassicales; Brassicaceae.